Molecule: ribosomal RNA, 501 nt
Filed under: uncultured bacterium
Lineage: Bacteria
Description: partial 16S ribosomal RNA
Rfam family: Bacterial small subunit ribosomal RNA
Source: RNAcentral
GAUGAACGCUAGCGGGAGGCCUAACACAUGCAAGCCGAGCGGUAUUUGUCUUUCGGGACAGAGAGAGCGGCGUACGGGUGCGGAACACGUGUGCAACCUGCCUUUAUCAGGGGGAUAGCCUUUCGAAAGGAAGAUUAAUACCCCAUAAUAUAUCUGAUGGCAUCAUUAGAUAUUGAAAACUCCGGUGGAUAGAGAUGGGCACGCGCAAGAUUAGAUAGUUGGUGAGGUAACGGCUCACCAAGUCAGUGAUCUUUAGGGGGCCUGAGAGGGUGAUCCCCCACACUGGUACUGAGACACGUACCAGACUCCUACGGGAGGCAGCAGUGGGGAAUAUUGGACAAUGGGGGAAACCCUGAUCCAGCCAUGCCGCGUGUGUGAAGAAGGCCUUAUGGUUGUAAAGCACUUUAAGCGAGGAGGAGGCUACUGAGACUAAUACUCUUGGAUAGUGGACGUUACUCGCAGAAUAAGCACCGGCUAACUCUGUGCCAGCCGCCGCGGUAA